AGUGAACGCUGGCGGCGUGCCUAAUACAUGCAAGUCGAACGGAGAUUCAGUAGCUUGCUAUUUAAUCUUAGUGGCGCACGGGUGAGUAAUAUAUAGCUAACUUGCCCAUUACUAAGGGACAACAGUUGGAAACGACUGCUAAUACCUUAUACUCCGUAUCUAUAUAAGUAGAUACGGGAAAGUUUUUCGGUAAUGGAUAGGGCUAUAUCGUAUCAGCUAGUUGGUAAGGUAAUGGCUUACCAAGGCUAUGACGCGUAACUGGUCUGAGAGGAUGAUCAGUCACACUGUAACUGAGACACGGUCCAGACUCCUACGGGAGGCAGCAGUAGGGAAGAUUGCUCAAUGGGGGAAACCCUGAAGCAGCAACGCCGCGUGGAGGAUGACACUUUUCGGAGCGUAAACUCCUUUUCUUGGGAAAGAAUUAUGACGGUACCCAAGGAAUAAGCACCGGCUAACUCCGUG
This 462-nucleotide ribosomal RNA is filed under the name uncultured bacterium. RNAcentral's name for it is "partial 16S ribosomal RNA". It matches the Rfam family "Bacterial small subunit ribosomal RNA", at positions 29 to 507 of the family's 1533-position model. The record is from RNAcentral.